AAGUCGUAACAAGGUUUCCGUAGGUGAACCUGCGGAAGGAUCAUUACCAUGUUUCCGAGCUGUGCCUUUGGCCGGCUCGAUUUCACCCUUGUCUUGUCUACCCUGUUUCCUCGGUGAUGGUAAAGACCUGCCAGAGGACAUUUUUAAACCAUGUACUUGCAAUCAGCGUCAGAAAACAUAAUAAUUAAAACUUUCAACAACGGAUCUCUUGGUUCUG
RNAcentral lists this unclassified non-coding RNA (217 nucleotides) under fungal sp. Its description in RNAcentral is "partial internal transcribed spacer region". The stretch from base 1 to 46 matches the Rfam family "Eukaryotic small subunit ribosomal RNA", at positions 1786 to 1831 of the family's 1831-position model. Lineage: Eukaryota; Fungi. The record is from RNAcentral.